RNAcentral lists this non-coding RNA (29 nucleotides) under Macaca fascicularis (crab-eating macaque). Lineage: Eukaryota; Metazoa; Chordata; Mammalia; Primates; Cercopithecidae. RNAcentral also lists the same sequence under 1 other name. The record is from RNAcentral.
UGGACCUGCGUGCCUCUGCCUUCUCAUGU